RNAcentral lists this ribosomal RNA (786 nucleotides) under uncultured bacterium. RNAcentral's name for it is "bacterial SSU rRNA". It matches the Rfam family "Bacterial small subunit ribosomal RNA", at positions 8 to 796 of the family's 1533-position model. The record is from RNAcentral.
AGAGUUUGAUCAUGGCUCAGAACGAACGCUGGCGGCGUGCUUAACACAUGCAAGUCGAGUGCGCGGUUGUAGCAAUACAACUGGCGCACGGCGCACGGGUGCGUAACACGUGGGCAAUCUGCCCUUCGAUGGGGAAUAACUCCGGGAAACCGAAGCUAAUUCCGCAUAACAUUCCUUGGACCUCGGUUCGAGGACUCAAAGCCGUAAGGCGUCGAAGGAGGAGCCCGCGCACGAUUAGCUAGUUGGUAGGGUAACGGCCUACCAAGGCUUCGAUCGUUAGCUGGUCUGAGAGGAUGGCCAGCCACACUGGAACUGAGACACGGUCCAGACUCCUACGGGAGGCGGCAGUGGGGAAUCUUGCACAAUGGGCGAAAGCCUGAUGCAGCGACGCCGCGUGGGGGAUGAAGCAUUUCGGUGUGUAAACCCCUUUCGACCCGGACGAAUGCCUCGCAAGAGGAGUGACGGUACGGGUAUAAGAAGCCCCGGCUAACUACGUGCCAGCAGCCGCGGUAAGACGUAGGGGGCCAGCGUUGUUCGGAAUUACUGGGUGUAAAGGGUUCGUAGGCGGUGUGGCAAGUUGGGAGUGAAAUCUCUGGGCUCAACCCAGAGGCUGCUUCCAAAACUGCUGUGCUUGAGUGUGGGAGAGGCGCGUGGAAUUGCAGGUGUAGCGGUGAAAUGCGUAGAUAUCUGCAGGAACACCCGUGGCGAAAGCGGCGCGCUGGACCACAACUGACGCUGAGGAACGAAAGCUAGGGGAGCAAACAGGAUUAGAUACCCUAGUAGUCC